CCCGCCGGCGACCGGCGCACGGGUGAGUAACACGUAUGCAACCUGGCCGCCACAGGGGGAUAACCCGCGGAAACGCGGCCUAAUACCCCGUGACGCCACCGGAGGGCAUCCUCCGGUGGCCAAAGGAGCGAUCCGGUGGGCGGAUGGGCAUGCGGCGCAUUAGCUAGACGGCGGGGUGACGGCCCACCGUGGCGACGAUGCGUAGGGGUUCUGAGAGGAAGGCCCCCCACACUGGGACUGAGACACGGCCCAGACUCCUACGGGAGGCAGCAG
Molecule: ribosomal RNA, 273 nt
Filed under: uncultured bacterium
Lineage: Bacteria
Description: partial 16S ribosomal RNA
Rfam family: Bacterial small subunit ribosomal RNA
Source: RNAcentral